CGUGAGAUGUUGGGUUAAGUCCCGCACGAGCGCAACCCUUGUCCUUUGUUGCCAGCGGGUAAAGCCGGGAACUCAAAGGAGACUGCCAGUGACAAACUGGAGGAAGGCAGGGAUGACGUCAAGUCAUCAUGGCCCUUACGGUCAGGGCUACACACGUGCUACAAUGGGGCGUACAGAGGGAAACGAUACCGCGAGGUGGAGUGGAACCCAAAAAGCGUCCCUAAGUUCGGAUUGGAGUCUGCAACUCGACUCCA
This 254-nucleotide ribosomal RNA is filed under the name uncultured bacterium. RNAcentral's name for it is "partial 16S ribosomal RNA". It matches the Rfam family "Bacterial small subunit ribosomal RNA", at positions 1066 to 1320 of the family's 1533-position model. The record is from RNAcentral.